Molecule: ribosomal RNA, 254 nt
Filed under: uncultured bacterium
Lineage: Bacteria
Description: partial 16S ribosomal RNA
Rfam family: Bacterial small subunit ribosomal RNA
Source: RNAcentral
GACGAACCGUGCGAACGUUAUUCGGAAUCACUGGGCUUAAAGCGCGUGUAGGCGGAUGGGGACGUCGGUCGCUGAAAUCCCCCGGCUCAACCGGGGAACGGGCGCCGAAACGCCCCGUCUCGAGGGACGUAGGGGGACCUGGAACUUCCGGUGGAGCGGUGAAAUGCGUUGAGAUCGGAAGGAACACCAACGGCGAAAGCACUCUGCUGGGCCGACACUGACACUGAGAGACGAAAGCUAGGGGAGCGAAUGGG